This 409-nucleotide ribosomal RNA is filed under the name Bacillota bacterium. RNAcentral's name for it is "Firmicutes bacterium partial 16S ribosomal RNA". It matches the Rfam family "Bacterial small subunit ribosomal RNA", at positions 355 to 776 of the family's 1533-position model. The record is from RNAcentral. Lineage: Bacteria; Bacillati; Bacillota.
UGGGGAAUCUUGGGCAAUGGGCGAAAGCCUGACCCAGCGACGCCGCGUGGGGGAUGAAGGCCCUCGGGUUGUAAACCCCUUUCAGCGGGGACGAAGCGAAAGUGACGGUACCCGCAGAAGAAGCCCCGGCUAACUACGUGCCAGCAGCCGCGGUAAGACGUAGGGGGCGAGCGUUGUCCGGAUUUAUUGGGCGUAAAGCGCGCGCAGGCGGCCCGUUAAGUCGGUUGUGAAAACCCGAGGCUCAACCUCGGGCCUGCAUCCGAUACUGGCGGGCUUGAGGCAGGUAGGGGAGAGUGGAAUUCCCGGUGUCGCGGUGAAAUGCGCAGAUAUCGGGAGGAACACCGGUGGCGAAGGCGGCUCUCUGGGCCUGUCCUGACGCUCCGGCGCGAAAGCUGGGGGAGCAAACAGG